Molecule: long non-coding RNA, 499 nt
Organism: Stegastes partitus (bicolor damselfish)
Lineage: Eukaryota; Metazoa; Chordata; Actinopteri; Pomacentridae
Exons: 4
Source: RefSeq, a predicted model, not a curated record
CAGAAACCUCCAAACUCCAGACCCGCUGGACGACACUCGGCCUGACGGUGGUUUUUCCAUCCUGGCUCUUGUCAUCCCGCUUGUGAUCAUCUUACUGUUCAUCGUUGUCGGUGUCGUUGCAUAUUUCUUAAGGAGAAAAGUUCAAAAAAAGAAUCUUUCAGACAAAGACGCCGCUCAGAAAGAACCGCUUGGACCCUAGGUGCCUUGCUCAGGAGCUGUUGGUGCGAAUGGAGACUAUCGGGGAUUUAACUCUGCACGACGUUUCUGGUCCAUCUGGAGAUUCGAUCCAGCAGCCACAAGGAGGGGCAGUGACAGAACCUCCUGGCCGUGGCUGCUGUGAGGAAUCUGAUCCACUGAUGGACUUUAUUUCUCAACGUCCUGCAGUGAAAGUUUGAAGAGGAAAUUAGAAGAAGAUUCAUUUCUGCGAGACCCAAAGAGUCCACUAGUAGAGAUCUGCUUCGGUUCGAUCUUUCAGAACCGGAAUCGCUCUUUCGGUUUU